AGGACGAACGCUGGCGGCGUGCUUAACACAUGCAAGUCGAGCGGUAAGGCCCUUCGGGGUACACGAGCGGCGAACGGGUGAGUAACACGUGGGUGACCUGCCCCCAACUCUGGGAUAAGCCCGGGAAACUGGGUCUAAUACCGGAUAUGACUUCAUGCCGCAUGGUGUGUUGUGGAAAGCCAGUUACAUUGUUUCUGGCGGUUGGGGAUGGGCCCGCGGCCUAUCAGCUUGGUUGGUGGGGUGAUGGCCUACCAAGGCGACGGACGGGUA
Molecule: ribosomal RNA, 270 nt
Filed under: uncultured bacterium
Lineage: Bacteria
Description: partial small subunit ribosomal RNA
Rfam family: Bacterial small subunit ribosomal RNA
Source: RNAcentral